RNAcentral lists this ribosomal RNA (442 nucleotides) under uncultured bacterium. RNAcentral's name for it is "partial 16S ribosomal RNA". It matches the Rfam family "Bacterial small subunit ribosomal RNA", at positions 338 to 795 of the family's 1533-position model. The record is from RNAcentral.
CCUACGGGGUGCAGCAGUGGGGGAUAUUGCACAAUGGGGGGAACCCUGAUGCAGCGACGCCGCGUGGGUGAAGGAGCGUUUCGGCGCGUAAAGCCCUAUCGGCAGGGAAGAAUAAUGACGGUAGCUAAGGAGCAAGCCACGGCUAACUACGUGCCAGCAGCCGCGGUAAUACGUAGGUGGCAAGCGUUGUCCGGAAUAACUGGGUGUAAAGGGAGCGCAGGCGGGAAGCCAAGUCAGCUGUGAAAACUACGGGCUUAACUUGUAGACUGCAGUUGAAACUGGUUUUCUUGAGUGAAGUAGAGGUUGGCGGAAUUCCGAGUGUAGCGGUGAAAUGCGUAGAUAUUCGGAGGAACACCGGUGGUGAAGGCGGCCAACUGGGCUUUAACUGACGCUGAGGCUCGAAAGUGUGGGGAGCAAACAGGAUUAGAUACCCCUGUAGGUC